AAUUCUGCAAUGAUUGACUUUGUGUAUAAGUCAUAUUGGACACUCCACGAGGGGCUAGUUCUGUGGAACAAAUUCCCAGAAGUGCUACUAUAAGUCAGAUGGUGUCACAUUUUCAAUUCUGAUAAAUAUUGACAAAUUGUCCUCCAUUGCUGCUGUGCCAGUUUACACUCCCAGUGACCAGGUAAAAGAAUUAAGGUGUUAAGUGACCACCUUUGACAUCAGGAAGUAUCUGUGGCAGCCUCUAUACUGCAGGGGAAUCAAAUGGGGCAGAAAGUGUUGGCUGUUCUGAGCCAUUGAGACCCACUGCAUGAUUCCAAUAGUAAAUAUUAUAAUGCAGCUGGAUAUUGAGGCUAAAUCUAAUUCUAUAUGGUGUUACACACAUGCCCUCUUUUUCUUUUGGGAAAAUGUCUCCUAGAAAUUAUAAAGGAAUAGAGCAUAAAUUAUAAUAAUCUAAAAGUACAUGUUUGUAAUACAACAGGAUCUACCCCAUUGCUGUUCAACAGAACUUUCUGUGAUGAUGGAAAUGUUCUGUAGCUCUGUUAACGGAAAAUACAAAAAAAAGGCAUGGACUGGAUCACCGACAGAAAAUCCAAGUGGCACUCGGAGGUCUUGGAGUGUUGAGGUUUAUUUCACACCCGCAGGCUCAGAGGGGAGUAAUCUCCCAAAAAGUCUGAGCCCCAAACAAAGGCAAAGGGAGCAAUAUAUAUCUUUCUGCUUCCUUAUCUGUAACAUUCCUACGUGCACAGCAAGCGAGCAGGCAAGGGGGAGGUAGUUUAGGGAGUGAACCUUGGGAACCGAUGCUCGGCAGAACGGGAAACCAAGGAAGUGGUUUGUUUUUUUUUGUUUGGGUUGAGGAGGAGGGCGAGGUGGAGAGGAGCCACCUGUAAAUUACUGUCCUUGUAGUGCUGUUUAUGUUGGUGGAGGGGCGAGACAGAGUGGAGUCACCGGCCAGGUUGCUGUCCUUGUCAAUUUUCCCUAUCAUUCCCCCCCUCUGAUGCCCCUUCAAACACUUUGUUUUAGGGGGCAUCAUCUCCCUGGCUUAUGACAGGGUCAUAGUGGCUCCUCAUAUACAUGAGCUGUAUGUAGGAAAUGCGUUCUUUGAUAAAGUUAAUGAGCCAGUUAAAUAUACAGGGUCCCACUAAUAGUUGAAGGAACAGCAGAAUCCCUGGCCCAGCAAGGCCAGUUAGAGGAGUUGUUAGUCAUGGAUUCUAUUCAAACCAUCCCUGGAACUAAGACUUUUUAUUUUCUAACAUUUUAUUCCUAUGCUGGAGGUUUUUCUUUUUUUUUUACUUUGGCUAGAUAGCUCCUAACUAUGCCAGAGUUGUUUGUAUAAAAACAACAAUCUUCUUUAAGGGCUGUACAUAAGCCUCCUUGUGACAUGAACAGGAAGUCCAGUCCUCUAUGAUUUUGCAGCAUCACUUCAGCCAGGGAAUCAAUUUGAUCUUACAGCUGAAUCGUGGUGGUUUCAAGCUGCUCUAAAUCUUGAUCAGCGUCCUCUGUUAGGGCAGCGAGACCUAAGUCUCUUUUUAUUAGAGCCACUGUGCCUACUGCAGCUGAUCCAGCUCCACUGAGCCCAACCAGAGCAGGGAUCAGUAAAGGGGCAGCCUGUUCAGCCUAGGAAAUCUUACAGGGGGACAGGAGGUAGCUCCCUUCAGGCCUACUAUGCACUUUAUAACUUUGUACAGUUAAACAUUACAGAGAGGUACUUUGGAAGUGCAGGCUGAGACUUGAGUUCAGCUAGUAGAGACACAGCAAAACAACUUAACUAUUACCCAAUAGAUAAUAGAAAGGGCAACUUUUUUUUUUUUGAGGAAUAGUCCAGUCCAGGGGUGCAACAUCACAGAGUCCAAUGCCCAGAAUAAAAGACACCACUCUGACGAGAGCCAGGAUCCACAGCGCGCAGGUGUCUAUAUUAGUCAGAGGGCAAUCGUCGGAUGCGGAGGCGGACAGGAUUUGGAGGUCUGGCUGGGCCUCCCACUGAUAUGCUUCUUUGUCAGGAUGAUAGUGAUGCUGGGGUUAUUGUUCCUGAAGUCGAAGAAUGAGCUUCACAAACAUUCAAGAGGCCCUCACCCUACUCUGCCUAAUCCCUCCAUCCCUAUCUCAAUGGACCCUUCUCACUCUGGAAUGAUGGACCCCUGGAGUGAUGCCUGCAACCUUGAGGGCAGUAGGAGUGGUUAGAACAACAAUGUGGGGGCCAGUCUACUGAGGUUUAAGGGGGUCUUUUUUCUAAUUUUUAACUCAAACUGAGCCCACAGCCUGGAGGGAAUGUUCCUAGAGAGAUCGGGGCUCUAUGGUGUAUUGUUAUAGUAUAUUUAGGGUGGCUUCCAAGGCUUGGAGAUGUUCUCCUGUUCCCUUAUCUCCUAUUUGGUGUAGGUUCUCUGAGACACUUCCUAGACAAGGGGGAGGGUGUCUAUAUACUAAUUUAAAAGGGAAAAAAACCUUGAGUUCCAGGUGUGCAGCCAGCAUGCAGGAGAGCCAGGGGCAGUGAAUCUGGCCACAGGUGACCAGUUUUUUGGCAAAACUUAGCUAGGGUUCUUUUGAGGGUGGAUUCAUUUGCUCUACUUUCCCUGAACUCUAUGACCUGUAUGCAGUGUGAAGUUUCCUGGUAAUAUUGAGGGAUUUAGUUAACAUUUGCACUACAUCUGCUAUAAAUGCAGGCACAUUGUCACUGUGGAUUGUGGAUGGUAGGCCAAACCAGGGCACAGUUUCUCUCAGGAGGACUUGGACUAACUCCCGGCUCCAUUCUGUUCUGGUUGGGAAGGCUUCGAACUAGCUAGAGUAUGUACACACUAUUACUAGGAGGUAUCUGAGUCCCCUGCUUGGCUGGACAUCUGUGAAGUCUAUCUCAAGGUCUUUAAAGGGGGCAACUCCCAUUCUUUGGACACCAGGUAGGAGUCGUGGCACAGACCAAGUAUUAUUUCUGGCACAAGUUACACACUGUCUACUUACUGCUCAGCAUAGUGCUGGCAACUGGCUGAUGUAGUAUUGCUUUUUGAGGAGGGCCUCUAGUGCAGUUUCUCCCAGGUGGGUGAGCUGGUGGUAUUUGCUGACUAGCUGCCUCCCGGUUGCAGUUGGGACAAAGAUACAUCUGUCUGGCAACAUCCACCAUCCGUUUUCAGUUAAAGUGGCUCCUUCAGUUAUGGCCCAAUCUUUCUUCUUUUCAGUGUACCUGGGUAGAGGGGCCUCUACCUGGGGUGUUAGGGCCAUAGUGAGGGAAGGAGCUCUCCCUGACUCUUUACUGGCUGCUGUUUUGGCAGCAUCAUCUGCCAUCGAUUCCCCUGUGCUAUAGGGUUGUUUUCCUUUUGAUUUUCUUUGCAAUGCAGAAUUGC
Molecule: non-coding RNA, 3329 nt
Organism: Manis javanica (Malayan pangolin)
Lineage: Eukaryota; Metazoa; Chordata; Mammalia; Pholidota; Manidae
Source: RefSeq, a predicted model, not a curated record